This is a long non-coding RNA of Dendroctonus ponderosae (mountain pine beetle), 346 nucleotides long. RefSeq lists it as uncharacterized. The record is from RefSeq and is a predicted model, not a curated record. NCBI's taxonomy places the organism in Eukaryota, Metazoa, Arthropoda, Insecta, Coleoptera, Curculionidae. The transcript is spliced from 2 exons.
CAGUUUCGGAAUGAAGACGACGAAUCAGAACGAGACUGGCUGCCGUUAAGAAGAUGAGAUAAGCGCUACAUACCGGAACUCCUUGUCCAAAAUAAUGUAUUACCUUCCUGGACCUCGCUAUUUGUCUACAAUUAAUUAAAUGUCUUAUUAGGGAUGUUGCACGCUCUUCCUCCACUUAACUUAUAUUUUGGUUGUUAACUUUGCCUAGAAACUCAUCUAGUUGCCCUAUUUAUCGCAUAUAUCUGCUACGCACGUAUCUAAUAUUAUAGCAAAGCUCCACUUCCGACAUGUUCACAUGUCUUGUAUAGCUCCAAAAUCAUAACUCAAUAAAGCAUAUUUGUGGCUA